ACCGCGACUGUCACCAGAAUAAGAGGCGCUGCCGGAGUUUACCUGGAGUUCACUUGUUGAAUGACAACAGACGGAAGUUUAUUCUUUAUUUUACACUUUAUUUCUCCGCUUGGGAACAACUUACCGCAUCUCGGCGCAGAGUCGCAGCUUUUCUGACUCCCGAUCGGCCGCCUCGCCCCGGAAAAAAUGCGGGACCGGACGAAAGAAUUGGGAAAUACUGCAGAGACUUCAGACGAGGACGAGGAGAGCAGAGCUCUGAUGAUCAAACCUGGAGCCUCUUCAGCCAAAGAGGAGAAGGACAAUGAAGCUUUCUUCAAAAAGGUUUGCAUUAAUGUCGAUAUUAACCCUUUGGGAUAAUCCGAGGAAACUUGAGGAGGAGAUGACGUUUAUUUUUUAA
Plectropomus leopardus (leopard coralgrouper) is the source of this 397-nucleotide non-coding RNA. Lineage: Eukaryota; Metazoa; Chordata; Actinopteri; Perciformes; Serranidae. The record is from RefSeq and is a predicted model, not a curated record.